RNAcentral lists this ribosomal RNA (375 nucleotides) under uncultured organism. RNAcentral describes it as "partial 16S ribosomal RNA". It matches the Rfam family "Bacterial small subunit ribosomal RNA", at positions 527 to 896 of the family's 1533-position model. The record is from RNAcentral.
GUAGGGCGCAAGCGUUAUCCGGAAUUAUUGGGCGUAAAGAGCUCGUAGGCGGUUUGUCGCGUCUGCCGUGAAAGUCCGGGGCUCAACUCCGGAUCUGCGGUGGGUACGGGCAGACUAGAGUGAUGUAGGGGAGACUGGAAUUCCUGGUGUAGCGGUGAAAUGCGCAGAUAUCAGGAGGAACACCGAUGGCGAAGGCAGGUCUCUGGGCAUUAACUGACGCUGAGGAGCGAAAGCAUGGGGGGAGCGAACAGGAUUAGAUACCCUGGUAGUCCAUGCCCGUAAACGUUGGGCACUAGGUGUGGGGGACAUUCCACGUUUUCCGCGCCGUAGCUAACGCAUUAAGUGCCCCCGCCUGGGAGUACGGCCGCAAGGCUA